AAUAGAUACCCCGGUAGUCCACGCUGUAAACGUUGGACACUAGGUGUGGCGGUCUGAUCAACGACUGCCGUGCCGAAGCUAACGCAUUAAGUGUCCCGCCUGGGGAGUACGGCCGCAAGGCUAAAACUCAAAGGAAUUGACGGGUCCCCGCACAAGCGGCGGAGCAUGCGGCUUAAUUCGAUGCAACCCGAAGAACCUUACCUGGGUUUGACAUCAUGGGAAAAGCCGUGGAAACACGGUGUCCGUAAGGGCCCAUGACAGGUGGUGCAUGGCUGUCGUCAGCUCGUGUCGUGAGAUGUUGGGUUAAGUCCCGCAACGAGCGCAACCCUUGUCCUAUGUUGCCAGCGGUUCGGCCGGGGACUCAUAGGAGACUGCCGGGGAUAACUCGGAGGAAGGUGAGGACGAUGUCAAGUCAUCAUGCCCCUUAUAUCCAGGGCUGCACGCAUGCUACAAUGGUCGGUACAACGGGCAGCGAUCCUGCGAAGGUGAGCGAAUCCCACAAAGCCGGCCUCAGUUCGGA
This 520-nucleotide ribosomal RNA is filed under the name uncultured bacterium. RNAcentral's name for it is "bacterial SSU rRNA". It matches the Rfam family "Bacterial small subunit ribosomal RNA", at positions 777 to 1297 of the family's 1533-position model. The record is from RNAcentral.